Molecule: non-coding RNA, 396 nt
Organism: Paramuricea clavata
Lineage: Eukaryota; Metazoa; Cnidaria; Anthozoa; Malacalcyonacea; Plexauridae
Source: the annotation of a GenBank genome assembly
UGGAAACAUAAGCAUGACUUUCAAAAUUCAAAAAUCGAAAUUGAAAGAAUUUAUAAUUUUUCAAUUUUUUUGCUGUUGUGCGUUUUCGAAGCGGUUUUCCGUUUUCGUAGCUGUUUUACUGUUUAAAUAUCUACAAUUACUCUCUGUGUAAAAGAUUAUCGACGAAAUAAUGGCCACAGCGCAGCGAAUGUCUAUCGACGAGUCACACUGCGUGUUGUGUUGCGAAGAUAUGGAGUACAGUGCCUGUGGGUCUUGUGAUCAUCCAAUCUGUCUGAAAUGUUGUGUAAAAUUACGUCUGUUGAGAAAGGAAUAUGACUGUCCCGUGUGUAGAGCCCAACUAAAAGAGGUAUCGGUAUUUAUUCACGAUUUUAUGAUUAAUAUCAAAUUUAUUACCCC